GCCGACGUAGCUCAGUGGCAGAGCGGGGGACUCAUAAGCCCUAUGUCGCAGGUUCGAAUCCCGCCGUCGGCACCA
RNAcentral lists this transfer RNA (75 nucleotides) under Chloroflexota bacterium. Its description in RNAcentral is "tRNA-Met". It matches the Rfam family "tRNA". From Rfam's summary of the family: Transfer RNA (tRNA) molecules are approximately 80 nucleotides in length. Their secondary structure includes four short double-helical elements and three loops (D, anti-codon, and T loops). RNAcentral also lists the same sequence under 2 other names. The record is from RNAcentral. Lineage: Bacteria; Bacillati; Chloroflexota.